Molecule: ribosomal RNA, 25 nt
Filed under: Cratylia mollis
Lineage: Eukaryota; Viridiplantae; Streptophyta; Magnoliopsida; Fabales; Fabaceae
Description: partial large subunit ribosomal RNA
Source: RNAcentral
AGGCGGGACUACCCGCUGAGUUUAA